Molecule: ribosomal RNA, 493 nt
Filed under: uncultured bacterium
Lineage: Bacteria
Description: partial 16S ribosomal RNA
Rfam family: Bacterial small subunit ribosomal RNA
Source: RNAcentral
ACGAACGCUGGCGGCGUGCUUAACACAUGCAAGUCGAACGGUGAAGCGCCUUCCUUUUUGGUGGGUGUGGAUGAGUGGCGAACGGGUGAGUAACACGUGAGUAACCUGCCCCCUUCUUCUGGAUAACCGCAUGAAAGUGUGGCUAAUACGGGAUAUUCUGGGUCUGUCGCAUGAUGGGUCUGGGAAAGAUAUUGUUUCGGUGGGGGAUGGGCUCGCGGCCUAUCAGCUUGUUGGUGGGGUGAUGGCCUACCAAGGCGGUGACGGGUAGCCGGCCUGAGAGGGUGGACGGUCACACUGGGACUGAGACACGGCACAGACUCAUACGGGAGGCAGCAGUGGGGAAUAUUGCACAAUGGGCGCAAGCCUGAUGCAGCGACGCCGCGUGAGGGAUGGAGGCCUUCGGGUUGUGAACCUCUUUCGCCAGUGAAGCAGGCCUGCCUCGUUUGUGGGUGGGUUGACGGUAGCUGGAUAAGAAGCGCCGGCUAACUACGUG